AUGGCAGUUGUUGCUCUGGCGGGCGCCGACUUGGCAGCGGACAGCAAGUUGUGCGCGGAGAAGCUGGCUGUGCUGGCGACGUGCUUGCCCGUCGUGGAGGCGACGGCGACGGUGCGUGCGCCCACGCCGGAGUGCUGCGCCGGGCUCCGGGAAGUUCUGGGUGACAGCAAGAAGUGCCUGUGCGUGCUGACCAAUGACCGCGACGACCCGGCCAUUGGGAUAAAAGUCAACGUCACCCGCGCCAUGGACCUCCCCUCCGCCUGCUCCGUCCCCGCCGUCCUCUCCGACUGCCCGAGUACGUACUGCUCAUAUCCGAUCGGCCGGUGCUGCGCCACCGUGCCUGCGUGUAUGCUAAAUUGCUAA
RNAcentral lists this ribosomal RNA (363 nucleotides) under Triticum aestivum (bread wheat). RNAcentral's name for it is "partial small subunit ribosomal RNA". Lineage: Eukaryota; Viridiplantae; Streptophyta; Magnoliopsida; Poales; Poaceae. The record is from RNAcentral.